CGUUCCCGGGUCUUGUACACGCCGCCCGUCACACCACGAAAGUCGGCAACACCCGAAGCCGGUGGCCUAACCCGCAAGGGAGGGAGCCGUCGAAGGUGGGGCUGGCGAUUGGGGUG
This 116-nucleotide ribosomal RNA is filed under the name uncultured bacterium. Its description in RNAcentral is "partial 16S ribosomal RNA". It matches the Rfam family "Bacterial small subunit ribosomal RNA", at positions 1369 to 1482 of the family's 1533-position model. The record is from RNAcentral.